Molecule: long non-coding RNA, 319 nt
Filed under: Sorghum bicolor (sorghum)
Lineage: Eukaryota; Viridiplantae; Streptophyta; Magnoliopsida; Poales; Poaceae
Description: long non-coding RNA (SBIC_LNC017178)
Source: RNAcentral
GGACCUCAGCUAUAGAAAAGGGUUGGUUUUGACCUAUUGUAAUCAACUCCGGACAUAGAUCAUAAUUAGGGGCAUGACUUGUUGACUCCCAUGGUCUAUGGCUGGUCUCCGAAGGUACAAAGAAUUCAAUAAUAGGUAUGGAAUUUGAGUUAUCCAUAAAGAUGGAAAAAAUAAAAAGAUAAAAGAAUAAAAGUAUAAUACAAGAUAAUAGCAAGACUUAAAGUUAUCUCAGCAAACCGUCUUUAUCCCCGGCAACGGCGCCAGAAAUGCUUGUUUAUAUUUGGUAACACAAUAAGGAAAUGAUCCGCAAGCGCACGGA